RNAcentral lists this ribosomal RNA (427 nucleotides) under uncultured Staphylococcus sp. RNAcentral's name for it is "bacterial SSU rRNA". It matches the Rfam family "Bacterial small subunit ribosomal RNA", at positions 353 to 772 of the family's 1533-position model. The record is from RNAcentral. Lineage: Bacteria; Bacillati; Bacillota; Bacilli; Caryophanales; Staphylococcaceae.
AGUAGGGAAUCUUCCGCAAUGGGCGAAAGCCUGACGGAGCAACGCCGCGUGAGUGAUGAAGGUCUUCGGAUCGUAAAACUCUGUUAUUAGGGAAGAACAAAUGUGUAAGUAACUAUGCACGUCUUGACGGUACCUAAUCAGAAAGCCACGGCUAACUACGUGCCAGCAGCCGCGGUAAUACGUAGGUGGCAAGCGUUAUCCGGAAUUAUUGGGCGUAAAGCGCGCGUAGGCGGUUUUUUAAGUCUGAUGUGAAAGCCCACGGCUCAACCGUGGAGGGUCAUUGGAAACUGGAAAACUUGAGUGCAGAAGAGGAAAGUGGAAUUCCAUGUGUAGCGGUGAAAUGCGCAGAGAUAUGGAGGAACACCAGUGGCGAAGGCGACUUUCUGGUCUGUAACUGACGCUGAUGUGCGAAAGCGUGGGGAUCAAA